Molecule: ribosomal RNA, 445 nt
Filed under: uncultured bacterium
Lineage: Bacteria
Description: partial 16S ribosomal RNA
Rfam family: Bacterial small subunit ribosomal RNA
Source: RNAcentral
GUAAGGAAUAUUGGUCAAUGGACGAAAGUCUGAACCAGCCAUGCCGCGUGAAGGAUGAAGGCCCUCUGGGUUGUAAACUUCUUUUAUCUGGGACGAAAAAAGGGUAUUCUUACUCACUUGACGGUACCAGAGGAAUAAGCACCGGCUAACUCCGUGCCAGCAGCCGCGGUAAUACGGAGGGUGCAAGCGUUAUCAGGAUUCACUGGGUUUAAAGGGUGCGUAGGUGGGUAUUUAAGUCAGUGGUGAAAUCUCCGAGAGUAACUCGGAAACUGCCAUUGAUACUAUUUACCUUGAAUGCACAGGAGGUAAGCGGAAUAUGUCAUGUAGCGGUGAAAUGCUUAGAUAUGACAUAGAACACCAAUUGCGAAGGCAGCUUACUACGGGGUGAUUGACACUGAGGCACGAAAGCGUGGGGAGCAAACAGGAUUAGAUACCCGUGUAGUCC